AUACGUAGGGUGCGAGCGUUAAUCGGAAUUACUGGGCGUAAAGCGUGCGCAGGCGGUUUUGUAAGACAGUGGUGAAAUCCCCGGGCUCAACCUGGGAACUGCCAUUGUGACUGCAAGGCUGGAGUGCGGCAGAGGGGGAUGGAAUUCCGCGUGUAGCAGUGAAAUGCGUAGAUAUGCGGAGGAACACCGAUGGCGAAGGCAAUCCCCUGGGCCUGCACUGACGCUCAUGCACGAAAGCGUGGGGAGCAAACAGGAUUAGAUACCCUGGUAGUCCACGCCCUAAACGAUGUCAACUGGUUGUUGGGAAUUUAUUUUCUCAGUAACGAAGCUAACGCGUGAAGUUGACCGCCUGGGGAGUACGGCCGCAAGGUUAAAACUCAAAGGAAUUGACGGGG
RNAcentral lists this ribosomal RNA (395 nucleotides) under uncultured bacterium. RNAcentral's name for it is "partial 16S ribosomal RNA". It matches the Rfam family "Bacterial small subunit ribosomal RNA", at positions 523 to 918 of the family's 1533-position model. The record is from RNAcentral.